RNAcentral lists this small RNA (63 nucleotides) under Salix viminalis (osier). The record is from RNAcentral. Lineage: Eukaryota; Viridiplantae; Streptophyta; Magnoliopsida; Malpighiales; Salicaceae.
GAAAGCCGUAUGAUAGAUGGUAAAUAUCUUGUACGGUUCGGGGGGUAAUCGGCGUACUCUGAU